GACCGUAUCCAUGUGUGCUAGGUAGUGUUAAGAUAUUAAUCAGUACUUGUGUCUUGUCAAGGGCUUAUGUGAAUAUGUUGCUGGUCACAAAAUCUUGCAUUGAUAUUUUAAUUAAGAAACAUUUCUUAUUCUCUUUCCAUUCCUGUUAAUGUUAGUACAUCACAUUUUUAUGUUAAUCAUUUGAACUGUUUGAAUAGCUACAGUGUAAUCAGGUUCUGAUGCUUUAAGAAUUGAGAAGUACAUGUAGUAAUUCUGUUUCCGUGUUCACAGAUGCCGCGACCAACCAAGAGGUCGACAAUAGCCAAACGGCUAUACGCACAGAGAUGUGCAAGUACAGAGGCUGCACCGCUUCCUCUUAAAAUAACUGAAGCAGAGUUUCCACCCCUUCCUCUUAAAAAAAGGGCAGAGGCUGCACGACCACCUCUUAAAACAUACAAGGCCGAGGUAACGCCGCUUCCUCGUAAAAAAAUGGCCGACUGCUCCGGCAGUUGUAAUCCUGGCCCCACCCAGCAGGUUCCACCCCGUCCUGCAAAAACAAACGGGAAAGAGGCUGCGACGCUUCCUCUCAAAAUAAGUCAAGCCAAGGUUAUGCCCACUCCUUGUAAAAAAAAAGGCCGGUUUUGCCAUCGUGUAGAAACCACCCCUCAACAGGUUCCACCCCUCCCUGUGGGUACAAUUGGGGUAGAGGCAAAGACGCUCCCUCUUAAAACAAGUCGAGCCGAGGUUAUGCCACAUCCUCGUAUAAAAAAAGGUCGGUUUUGCCAUCGUGUAGAAACCAACCCUCAACAGGUUCCACCCCUCCCUGUGGGCGCGAUUGGGGUAGAGGCAAAUACGCUCCCUCUUAAAACAAGUAGAGCCGAGGUUAUGCCACAUCCUCGUAAAAAAAUAGGCGGUUUUUGCCAUUGUGUAGAAACCACCCCUCAACAGGUUCCACCCCUCCCUGUGAAUCCAAUUGGGGUAGAGGCUGCACCGCUUCCUCUUAAAACAAGUCAAGCCGAGGUUGUGUCACGUCCUCGUCCAAAAGUGACAGACAAAGAACGCCUAUGUUCGAUGUCGGAAAUUUCCAACCAAACAAAACCCAGAUAUACCCUGCCUAUUUCCGUUCAUAAACCAUCUAUUCCUGUUCAUAAACCAUCUAUUCCCGUUCAUUCACCGUCUAUUUCAAAGAGAUUCCCAUUGAACUCAAACGAAAACAAAAGAAAAAGCUCAAAACAAUGUUUCAACAGGUGUGACCAAUCUGUCAAAAGUUCCAGACAAUCUGCAGGAAGGUUUGUGAUUCCAACCAAGUCGAUGGAUAAUGAUUUGAACACUUUAAAUUUGAGUUUUGAAUUUCCACAGAAAUCCGUGCUGACAGGUUCUUUUGAUCAAGCUGAUGCCCGCUUUGGAGAUUUGCGCAACAGGCAGUGUGGAGCCAUCAGUCUGACGGCAGUUUUGAGAAGCAAGCUGAAGAAUGUGCUGACGUGGUCGACACAAGAUCUGGAUGGUGUCUUGGUUGCAGGAACACACCUCUAUGAGUCUCUGAGAAAACAGGGUAACAUAAAAGACCGGGAAGUGAAGGGUAGGAAUUACAUUGCAGUCCAUGAACUACCAAGGAGACACAUGUUGGGUAAUACUACAUUUUCCAUCGAGUACAGUCCAUCUCUGACUGGUUUUGUUAAUGUCAAUGAGUACCAUGCGUAUGACAAAGCCAUAAGCGGUGUAGCCAUGCCACUUGAUGUAGCUCUUCAGCAAGCUCUACUGAGUGCUGAUGCUUUCUUGUUAACCGUUUGUGCCAACACAUCUGCAGUUAUUAAGCAGGGAUCAUGGUAUGCAGUUGUUGACUCUCAUGCUAUCAAAACAGAGACGAGUUGUGUUACUUAUCACAGAUCCGUUGAGUCUCUGUACAACUAUAUUAAUGACAUGGCACAGUUAUUUGGGGAACCUGAGCCACCAUUUGAGAUAACUGGAGUUUUGGUUUAUGCAGACGCAGAAGUUUGUGAUCCAUUGGAAGAAGCCGCUGGCAGCAGUUUUCCAUGCACUUCUGGUAAAGCCCUUUACAGCGAGGUCUUAAAACGCUCACCCAAGGUCUGUGAAUCUGUAAAGAGUGAGGUAAAGCCAUCUGAUUUUCAAGUAGACUCUGGCAAACUCCGGCAACCCCAGAUGAAGCACCCCAUGAAAACCCAACCAAAAUCCAUGAAAAAACCUAUCCAAACUGAACAAAACAUUCCUGCAAAUUGCCAUGAAAGUGCUUUGAGUGCUUGUUGUGAUUUUCCACAGAAAUCCAUGCUAAAAGGCUCUUUUGAUCAAGCUGAUGCCCGCUUUGGAGAUUCACGCAACAGGCAGUGUGGAGCUAUCAGUCUCACGGCAGUGUUGAGAAGCAAGCUGAAGAAUGUGCUUACGUGGUCGACACAAGAUCUGGACAGUGUCUUGGUUGCAGGAACACGCCUCUAUGAAUCUCUGAGAAAACAGGGUAACAUAAAAGAUCGGGCAGUGAAGGGUAGGAAUUACAUUGCAGUCCAUGAACUACCGAGGAGACACAUGUUGGGUAAUACUACAUUUUCCAUUGAGUACACUCCGUCUCUGACUGGUUUUGUUAAUGUCAAUGAGUACCACGAGUAUGACCAAGCCAUAAGCGCUGUAGCCAUGCCACUUGAUGUAGCCCUUCAGCAAACUCUACUUAGUGCUGAUGCUUUCUUGUUAACCAUUUGUGCCAACACAUCUGCAGUUAUUAAGCAAGGGUCGUGGUAUGCAGUCGUUGACUCUCAUGCCAUCAGGACAGACACAAGUUGUGUAGUCUAUCACAGUACCAUAGAGUCUCUGUACAACUAUAUCAAUGACAUGGCACAGUUGUUUGGGGAACCUGAGCCACCAUUUGAGAUAACUGGAGUUUUGGUUCAUGCAGAUGCAGAAGUGUCUGAUCCGCUGCAAGAAGCAGGCAGCAGCAGUUUACCAUGCUCUUCCGGUAAAGCCCUCUACAGUGACGUCUUAAAACGCACACCAAAGGUACGUGAAUCUGUGAAGACUGAGCCAAAGACCCCUGAUUGUCCGGUACCUGUGGAUGAAGUUGCAGAUGUGAGAAACCCUAACCUUCCAACGCAGACAGUCUCUAAUGUGUUGCCAAGUAAAGGUAAAAGAUUGAGGAAAGAAAAGCACAUUGAGCUGUCAGGUAAACGGGUUACAAAAUCACACGCUGAAACUGUUGUAACCGAUGACCUGAUGAUCACUGAUGUUUCAGUUCCAGAUGUCUUUUUUUCUCCCUUAACACAUAAUGAUAAGCAAGCUUUAUGUGAGCUCAUACAAAUGUCCAGUGAUAACAGUGACCAUAAUGUCAUAAACUUUGGUCCCAUUUCAGCUCCGUGUCAGACAAAGACCAUUAAACCAGACGGCAACUGUUUUUUCAGAUCGUUGGCACAUGUGAUAUGUGGAAGUGAGGAGAAACACUUGAAGGUUCGCCGUGCAGUUGUGAAACAUCUGAAGAUGAAUACUCCGCUGUUUGAGAGGUACGUGAGAAGUGAGUAUUCUUCAGCAGAGGAUUAUCUGACACGAUCUAGAAUGUUUUAUUCUGGCUCAUGGGUAACAGAAAUUGACAUAUUUGUUGCGGCUGAUCUUUUCAAAACCACCAUAAUGACUUUUAAUGACGGCCGAUGGAAUGCGCACAAACCUAAUGGAGAGGCAUUCACUCAGAAUGCAAUUUAUCUGAAACACUGUAACCGUAAUCAUUAUGAAGUUGUGACAUGUGUUAAGCACAGGGAUCGAGAUUCUGUUUGUGCAGGAGCAUGUGGAAAUGUGGUCUCAAAUGAGGUCAGCAAACCAUGUCUGCGUAAGCGAAAGGUAAGUGAUGCUGAAGAAUGUUGUCCAACCAAAAGGCAUCGGGACAGAUAUCGCAACGACAGCGAGUACAGACAAAAACAACUGAAGUACGAGAAGGCAAAGUAUGGUAAUGACCCUGAAUACAGACAGAACAAAAUUGAGCAUGCCAAAGCUAAAUAUUGUGAUGGUGCCAUUUACAGGGGGAAAAAAAUUGAAUAUGCCAAAACAAAAUAUUCUGAUGACCCCGUUUACAGGGGGAAAAAAAUUGAAUAUGACCAAACAAAAUACAGUAGAGAUAGAUCUUACCAAGAAAGAAAAAAGGGAAUUCUUCGUGACAAAUAUCUAAAAAAUGUUGAUGUUCGUUUUUCAAAGUGUGAACGUUCUAAGGCCAAGUACUUGAGCAAUAUUCAGUUCCAAAAACGUGUUUGCCAGUAUUCUCGAUUGAAAUAUAAAUAUAAUGUUUCUUUUCAGGCAAAUGUAUGCGAGUAUUCAAAGAAAAAAUAUCUGCAAAACCUGGCCUUCAAAGCAAGAGUGUGUGAGUAUUCAAAGAAAAAAUAUCUGCAAAACCUGGCCUUCAAAGCAAGAGUGUGUGAGUAUUCAAAGAAAAAAUAUCUGCAAAACCUGGCCUUCAAAGCAAGAGUGUGUGAGUAUUCAAAGAAAAAAUAUCUGCAAAACCUAGUCUUCAAAAGAAGAGUGUGUGAGUAUUCUGUAAUGAAAUAUCAUAAAGAUGUGAACUUCCGUGUGCUUUCAAUACAAAAAGGUUGUGAAAAGUAUGCAAGAAAGAAGGAACAACAAGACAUUGCUGUUGCUAUUGGUAAUUUUAGACAAGAAAUUAGUAGUGGUCCAGAGUUUGUGUGCUGUGUCUGUCACCGUUUACUUUUCAGAAAGCAGGUUGUUGAAUGUAGAAGACAAUGCUAUGAAGACAAAGGUGUAAAAAUCGCUGCUUUGGGAAGAAGAUGCAUCACAACCAGGUAUGUUCAUGUCUGUGAUCAAAAGUGUGAAGGAUCUUCUGCUCAUUCCUCAGGGUGCAAAUUAUGGAUCUGUCUAACGUGUCAUCGAAAAAUCCUCUGUGGACAACUGCCCGAAGAGAGCGUUGCAAACAACAUGCAUUUGGUGGAUGUUCCAAAUCAACUGAAAUGCCUCAACUCUUUGGAACAACAUCUAAUUGCACGUAACAUUCCUUUUAUGAAAUUACUGUGCCUUCCUCGUGGUAAACAACAUGGAUGCCAUGGCCCUGUAGUGUGCGUCCCGGUUAAUGCCACAGAUGUGUCCAAUAUCCUUCCACGAAAUGAAUGUGAUGACAAGAUGAUAAGGAUCAAACUGAAACGCAAGUUAACCUACAAAGGGCAUUAUGAGUACAAGUAUGUACACACUGAUCGUGUUCGAAAUGCUCUGAAAUAUUUGAUCCGGUUCAAUAAGUGGUUUGGUGAUGUGGAGAUUAAUCAACAGUGGAUCAACUCUUUGAACGAACCAGAAGAAAAUGUUGAUGAAAUGGAGCAACAAGACGUAGUUGAAAAGAUUGAUGAUGAAAAUGACCUUGAUGAACAGCAAGAGGAAGACCUUACCUACAUCAAAGAGCAAAGUGGUCUUUUGUCAGAUACGUCAUUGCAACCUGUGGACAUCGGUUCAGAAGUAAUUGAUCAGCAUUUCCAGGAUGUAUUAAAUCUGGCACCUGCUGAAGGUAACAGUCCUGUUAGUUUGUUAUCUGAUAGGUCUAACGAAGCAAAAUGUUUCCCUGUUCUAUAUCCAACUGGUGGUCCAACAUUUCAUGAUAAGAGGGAGGUAAAAAUAACAUUGUCAAGAUACUUGAAUGCAAGAAUCCUCAAUGCGGAUGGACGUUUUGCACAAAGCACAGACUUCAUUUUCUAUGCACAGUAUCUGUCGGAGAUUGAUCAAGUUGUAUCCAAUGUUUCAAUUGCUUUGCGCAAAGGAUCUGAGAAGAGUUUGUUGACUGAAGUGACUUCAGAUGUACUAACAAACCCAGACUCGUUAUCUAAAAUCUUGAAUUUUGAUGAAGGAUACAAGUUUUUGAGACCAAUCCGUGGAACACCUCCAUAUUGGCAGUCUACUCAAAAGGACCUUUUUGCACUUGUAAGACAGCUAGGUAUUCCAACUUUCUUUGCAUCCUUUAGUUCUGCGGAUCUCAGAUGGCCAGAAAUGAUUAGUACUAUAAUCAAACAGGAAGGGAAAAAUGUGAAAGCAGAUGAACUUGACUGGUCUGAAAAAUGUGGAUUGAUUAGACGAAACCCAGUGACUGCUGCAAGAAUGUUUGAUCAUAGAUGGCAUUGUUUUCUGAGAAAUGUAAUCAUGUCUUCAGCUCAACCGAUCGGGAAAAUAGUAGAUUACUUUUAUCGCGUAGAGUUUCAACAGCGUGGAUCUCCUCAUGUUCACUGUCUGUUUUGGGUUGAAAAUGCCCCAACGUUAAAUGAAGACAAUGAAGAAAACGAUGGUUUGGUUGCUAGUUUCAUUGAUCGUUACAUCACUUGUGAGACCCCAAGCGAGGAUGAAACUGAACUGUUUGAGAUUGUCAACGGUGUUCAGAAGCACAGUGUCAGACAUUCAAAGACAUGUCGUAAGAAAAAGACAGUUUGCAGAUUUAAUUUUCCACGACCCCCAUCAAGCCGUACCUUUAUUACAAGAGGUGGUAGUCGAGACGAUUUGAAAAGCGGUGACGGAAAAGAUACUGCACGUACAGUUUUAGAAAAAGUGAAAAAGGCUUUAACAGCUUCUGAUAUGGAUUAUGACUCAACUGAUGCAUUUUUUGAAUCCAUUGGUAUUAACCAAGCUCUCUUUGAGAAAGUGUAUGCACAGUGUUCCAAAAAGAAAUCCGUUGUCCUGAAAAGAAGUCCAAAAGACGUCUGGGUGAACCAGUAUAAUAAACAUUUACUGCGUGCCUGGCAAGGCAACAUGGAUAUCCAGUACGUCACUGAUGCUUACUCUGUAGUGGUUUACAUUAUCAGUUACAUCACAAAAGCAGAACAAGAAAUGGGAUUGUUGCUGCAACGUGCGCAAAACGAAGCCAUGAAUGGAAACCUUGAAGCGAGAUCAUCACUGAAGAUGCUUGGUAGUGUAUAUCUUCACAACAGAGAAGUUUCUGCUCAAGAGGCUGUGUAUCGUCUGACCGGUAUGCACUUGAAGGAAUGUUCUCGUAAAGUCCAGUUUAUUCCAAUUGGAUUGAAUCCUGUAAAGAUGAGUUUGCCUCUUCGUGUCAUCAAAAACAAAGUUGAUCAGUCUGGUGAAGAAGCUAGCUUUUGGAUGACUAGUCUGGUUGACCGAUACAAGAAUAGGCCAAACACGGAAGAGUUUGAGACCCAAUGUCUUGCAAGUUUUUGCUCUGAAAACAGGAUCUUGUCAAAAUCGGAGGUUUCUUCACAAAAAAAGUCUUCUGAAGACAAGGUGAUCAAGCUUAACAACGACUGUGGUUAUAUGAUGAAGAGAACUCGAACUGACCCUGCUGUUGUUCGAUAUCCGAGAUUUUCUCCCAAAAAAGAUCCAGAAAAGUACUUUCAUUCAUUGUUGCAACUUUUCUUGCCACAUUAUGAAGAUUGUCAGCUCAAGCCUGAGAGUUUUAGCACUUAUGAGGAAUUCUACAACAGUGGUGCUGUGAAAUGUGGGAGAAAUGUGACUCAAGUCAAAUGUAUUGUUGAUGCUAAUCGAGCACUCUUUGAAAAGGAAAGUGACAAAAUUGGUCGAGCUCAACAGCUUUUGGAGCAAGGUGUUGAUUUGGAAGAUGCUUGGGCUGCGUUAUGUCCUGAAACUGAAAAGGAACGUCACGAAUGUUUAGAACUAAGGAAGAGUAAUACAAUUCCUGAUGAAGAUGAUUCUGAGUGUUCUAUUCCAGAUCUUGUAACGAACCCUCGAACUCCAUACAGUAUUGAAACCAAUCAGGCUGGAAUUUCUAGAGAAGAAGCAUUAUGUUUACUGCGAUCAUUAAAUGCACAACAAUGUGCAAUCUUUUACAAAGUACGGAAAUGGUGUUUAGAGAAACUUCUUGGUGAAAACCCUGAACCAUUUCACUUGUUUGUCACUGGUGGAGCAGGCACAGGCAAGAGUCAUUUAAUCAAAGCGAUCUACUAUGAAUCCUCCAGACUUUUAUCUCAGCUGUCCGAAAACCCUGAUGAUAGAAGUGUGAUUUUAACUGCGUCAACCGGAGUGGCCAGUUUUCAAAUUGGUGCUUCUACAAUCCAUAAUACCUUUUCCAUAGGUGCCAAUGUCAAACUGCCAUAUCAGCCCCUAAGUGAUGACAAAAUCAAUUCACUGCGUGCAAAACUGGGAGGUUUGCAGAUUCUGAUCAUUGAUGAGGUGUCUAUGGUUGACCAUCACCUUUUGUCUUAUGUUCAUGGUAGAUUGAGACAAAUUAAGCAAACUGGUGACUACUCAAUUUUUGGAAGAGUCAGUUUGGUCUGUGUUGGUGAUUUUUAUCAGCUACCGCCAGUCAAGGGAAUUCCCCUGUACGUUGAUCCAAAAGGAGUGAAUCUUUGGGAUACCAACUUUGAAAUUGCUGAACUAACACAAGUUGUCAGGCAACAAGAUGCAUCUUUUGCUGAAAUGUUAAAUCGUCUGAGAGUUCAUAAAAAGAACGAAACUCUAAGCCCAAAUGACAUCAACAUGUUGAAGCAACGUGAAACUGGUGAAGAAUGCGAUGCUAUUCAUAUAUUCCCUACAAAUGCUCAGGUUGAUGAGUACAAUAUACAGAAACUUAAUGAGCGUUGUCCUGAGGCAAUCACUAUUCACGCUAGAGACUUUGCUAGAAAUCCAGAAACUGGAAGAAUAGAAAGGAAAGUUGGAUUUCAUGCAAAAGUUUUCAACUCUUGUUUGGACAAAUGUGUUUCCUUGGGUGUUGGUGCCAGAGUAAUGCUUAGGAAAAAUGUUGAUGUUUCUGAUGGACUUGUCAAUGGAGCCUGUGGCACAGUUGUCCACAUAAGCAGAAAACAAAGACGUGAUGAUGAUGAAGAUGAUGACUUCCCAUCAGCUAUCCAUGUUGAAUUUGAUGAUCCAAAUGUUGGUAAAGUUCAGAGAUCGAAGCUGCGACAGAAAUAUUCUCCAAAUUCAACUGUUAUUGAAGUGGAAGAAGAUCAAGUCUCAAACGAUGGUGGUUUAAGACGUCAGUUUCCACUUAAAUUGGCAUGGGCAUGCACCGUUCAUAAAGUGCAAGGACUCACAGUAGAUCAAGCGGUCGUCUCACUUGACAAGGUAUUUUCUCCGGGACAAGCAUAUGUUGCACUGAGUCGUGUGAGAACCCUCGAUGGACUAAUAAUUAAUAACUUCAAAGACUCUGUCAUAUAUUGUAAUGAGAAAAUUGACUCCGCUAUGAAAAACAUGCCCCGACUUACUUUAGAAAAUUACAGUUUUGUAAAGACACCUGGCGUGUUUACAAUUGCUCUUCAUAAUGUACAAAGUCUUCGAGCUCAUGUUCAAGAUCUUCAAGUUCACAGACAGAUAAUGAAUGCAGAUUGCAUCGGUUUAACUGAAACGUGGCUAAAAGUUGAAGACCAAGUACAGAUUCCAGGAUUUGUUUUUAAGAGCAAUCCAAGAGCUAAAUGUUAUGACAACAGUACUCCACUUUUCACUGAUUUAAAACAACAAAGAGGAGGUGGAGUUGGACUAUUCUGUUGUGAAAGCAUUCAUUUUAAUGUCAGGGUUCCAGAACCUUGUAACUUGGAAUGUCUAUACUUUGCAGUUCCACAUCUAAGUUUGAAUGCUGCUUUGCUGUACAGACCUAAUUCAUAUCCACUUAAUCUGUUUCGACAAAAUAUGUUGCAUGUUAUUGAUGAGCUGGAGAAACAGUCAGGAAAGAAAGUGAUUAUGGGAGACUUCAAUGAGGACAUCUUGACAUCAUCUACAAUUGGUACACUAAUGGAACUACAUGGAUACAGUCAACAUGUGCAACACCCUACCACUGAAAAAGGUACACUGAUAGACCAUGUCUAUGUUAAAGAUGCAGAUAAUGUCUCUGUUGAAAUUGUGCAAACGUAUUACAGUUACCACCAAGCAGUCCUUAUUUCACUGAGGUAAAAAUUAAUGUGUGUGAUUAUGUAAUGAAAUCUCUAUAACCUGCAUUAUUUGUUUCUUGUCUGUGCUCUUACUUGUUCAAUGUUCAUCCUGAGCUUCCAACUGGCAUACAACUGCAGGGCAAGUGUACAACUGGAGACGGUAUGUUCUAAGUCUAUCUAUAUCUAAAUGAAUAACUCUUAUAAUGAUCCAUCAGUUGAAUAUGUACAGCUGUUCCAUGUUAUGAUUGAAGUAUUAUCUGAAGGUAAUCCAUUUUAUCAAUGCAACACUCUGAAAUGAGAAUUGUAUCACUGUAUUGUCUGUUCUGUUUUUGUGUCCAUACGAUAUGAGUGCUAUCCUGAGAUUCCAACAUGGUCAGAGUCCAGUUAAUCCAGCCUGUAAUUCAAACAAGUGAUCAUCAUUUUCAACGCAACAUCUCCCAUAAUUGCUCUUCUUUCUUGAGCUAGUAAACUUCACCCAGCCAAGUCAUUCUAAGCCAUCCAAAUCAUAAUGGAUGCUUCCAAACAUUAUAGGAAGCAUCCACAAAGACUGCCUGCAUCCAUCCAUUUGUCUCCUAAUAUCACAAUUAAGUCAAUAGAACAACACAAAAUUGGUUUGUGCAUCAACUAACUACUAACUACUGUCAAAGAUUUCUGCAAUGUUACACUUCAAACUUCCGCCUUAUCCAUUAUGAUUCUCGGCUCCACAAACUGUUUUUAUGAAGAGGCACACAACCAAUCAAAAGGUUUGUGCAAAACAUUACACUUCAAACUUCGGUCUUAUCCGCUAUGAUUCUCCACCCCAUGAACUGUUUUUAUGAAGAGGCACACAACCAAUCAAAAGGUUUGUGCAAUACGUUACACUUCAAACUUCGGUCUUAUCCGCUAUGAUUCUCCACCCCAUGAACUGUUUUUAUGAAGAGGCACACAACCAAUCAAAAGGUUUGUGCAUGAAAACCCAAUAUCUACGGUCCACUUCUCCAAAAAGAUUUCUGCAAUGUUACACUUCAAACUUCCGCCUUAUCCAUUAAGAUUCUCCACUCCAUGAACUGUUUUUUAUGAAGAGGCACACAACCAAUCAAAAGAUUUCUGCAAUUUACUACACAUCAAACGUCCUUCUCCAAUAUGACUCUCCACCCCAUGAACCGUUUUUAUGAAGAGGCACACAACCAAUCAAAAG
RNA transcript from Carassius gibelio (silver crucian carp), 10959 nucleotides. RefSeq lists it as uncharacterized. The record is from RefSeq and is a predicted model, not a curated record. Lineage: Eukaryota; Metazoa; Chordata; Actinopteri; Cypriniformes; Cyprinidae. The transcript has 10 exons.